GCACCGGAGGAGGGUUCGUGUUUCGGGGGAAAGAGGGUUUAAGUGAUACCGGGAGAGUGCACUCACGCCUAAAAGUCUCCGGCUCGGUGUCCAUCCGGCAAUAGCACCCGCAGGUAAACCCGGAACCCUACACGUAGAGCAGUCACCCACCGUCCGGAUACGUCUCUUUAUGUCGGGCGCUAUGCGGAUCCCUCACACAUCCGCAUAAGACACGCCGGGUAGCUGGCGCUGACGGGGGGCGGUGUCGUGUCCUUCCUCUUAGAGCAGCAGGGGAUAGGGUUUUGAAAUGGGGCACCUCUUCGGGGUCAGGAGAGACGGGAGAAGAGAAAGGGGGGCCCGCUGCCGCCGCCCCACGAUAGGCCGCUCUACAGGUGGUUGCCGCCGCUGACGCGGCCCAAGUCCGAGAGGCCUCGUGAGCAGGAGGAGGUGAGGCCGCUGGUUUAGUGGGCCUAGGGCGCAGUAGAAGGUGAGGUCGCCGCUGAGUUGAGUUCAAACGUCUUGUGGCCUAGACGGGUCCCGUUCCGGGAGCAGGUGCUUACACCGGCCCUUUUUAGUAAAAGAAGUAAAAAAACCAGCCACUCCGACCUAGUGUGCAGUUAAUGAACACGAAAAGAGGAUCGACAACUAGUAGACAAGGUCUAAACGUGAAAAAAACCACUAAAAAUAAAACAAGGUAGAUAGGAAAACUCUGCCCACUAGAUCGACAUACCGAGCUAGCUCUACGUAUAGUGAAGACGACAAUUUAGGUUUUAUCUGACGAGAGGAAACAAAAGAACAUUAGGGGAAGGAAGAUAAGGAAGACAUGUAUACGCUAAAAGAAAACAAACAAACAUUAGGGGAAGCAGACCUGACCUAUCUAGAGAGCAGUAGGACAACGACGCGUCCAGGUUUAAACGGCACUACAAAAAUAUCUGUUAUAUAUACAACAAAAAAUAAGUAUGGGUACGAAUACACGGUCUAACUGAAUUAAAGACACUACAGAACUCCUAAGGAGAUUGAACCUAUUAACUACGAAUUAGGACGACCUUGAAUUAUUACCUAAACUACAAGACAAGAACUACACGAUUAGGUUCCAACUAUUAAUAAAGAAUUCACCCCAUCUCAAACUUAAGGAUGGUGACUAACGUUUUUAGAAGACAAGGUACCUAAAGUCAAACAAAGCAACUGGUGAAAGGGUCCUCAGUGUCUGAACUCGUUGCAACUACCAGUUCACACAGCACCGCCGCUCCGGUGUAGGGAACAGUCUUUGCGACCAACGCCUCGAUGUUCACCGACCUGGUCUUCCUAAUCCUAGCCGUUACGAGGACUCCUCUCCCUCUACUUGGGGUUGUCCUUUUGUAGCGAUGUUAACAGACACGCACGAAUACCUCUCUUCCCACAUAGUUGGCACCACAACAACCUGUGGUCUUGACAGAAAAUACGGGAAGGGACUUAACAACAAACAACAUGAAACAAUUUAGUAUCCCGACAAUACAUUUUACGUACAAUUUAGAACCCCGACAAUGAAAAUCAAAUGUAUUGACGAUCAAGCUUUGACACCGUAACUAUAGUACGGUGAUGAAUCGAAACCAUACGUCUUUGACUUAAGUUUACAACAACACCGACGACAAUUGAUGUGUACGGACGUAGAACAAAGACAACUCGAAAUCUGAGAUCAUCAAUAUAGGAACUGGACUUACACAACAUGGUUGGCUCGACCUACGUGGGCCCC
RNAcentral lists this ribosomal RNA (1711 nucleotides) under Triticum aestivum (bread wheat). Its description in RNAcentral is "partial small subunit ribosomal RNA". The record is from RNAcentral. Lineage: Eukaryota; Viridiplantae; Streptophyta; Magnoliopsida; Poales; Poaceae.